Molecule: non-coding RNA, 969 nt
Organism: Macaca mulatta (Rhesus monkey)
Lineage: Eukaryota; Metazoa; Chordata; Mammalia; Primates; Cercopithecidae
Source: RefSeq, a predicted model, not a curated record
UUAAGAAUUCACUGGAUGAGUGUAACAGCAGAAUAGAUGCAGCAGCAAGCAGGAUGAAUGAACUUGAAACAAAUCAAUAGAAAACAGCACACUGGGCAGGGAACAGUGGCUCAUGCCUGUAAUCCCAGCACUUUGGGAGGCCAAGGCAGAAAGAUCACAAGGUCAGGAGUUUGAGACCAGCCUGGCCAACAGGGUUCAGGACUGGGCUUGUCUUAGUGAGUAUGAACCAACGAAAUUGAGGAGAGAUUUGCUUAGAGCUUCUGGGAAAGAGAAGUCAAUGUCUGCCUGUGUUUCUCCCUCCUUCUCCUGCUACCCCUAUCACUUGGGGAAUAGUGAAGCAUGUUGCUCUGUUACAACUGGCAGCUGUCUUAGAACCAUGAAGGGAAACAGCCUUGCAAUGAAGCUCUCGGCCAAAUGGUGAGAUCUCAGCAGAUGAGUGAGACAGAAAGAUCCCGAGUGCCUGAAGACAGGCUCGCACUGAUUCAUCAAUCUUAAAGCUCACAUCAUUGUCUCUGAAUGACUACUUAAAAUCCUGUGAACCUGGAUGCACUCUAUUCCCUGCAGCAGUGGCAACACACUGACUACACUCCUGUGGUGAAGGAAUGGUCAUCCAGGAGCCAGCAAGUCAAGCAGAUGAGAAACAGGACUAACCAAGCCAGGAGUCAGCCCAGACAGCCCCGGGAUAUUGACUCUGAGUGGCCAAAUUCCUUCCAUUUGAACCACAAAUGCUGAUAAAAUAUUUUCAGGAACAGAGUGAGGGAAUGUACUUCACUCACUUCCCAAAAUGUAGACUUGAAGAGGUCAAAUCCUAUUUAAUCCAGGCUGAGAAAAUAAUGCCCAACUUUAUCCCAGAGCUAAAUUUAGGCACUGAGAUCUGGCCCUUGGCAAGUUAAUUUAGAUGAGCUAAUGGUUGUUCCUGGCAUAAGGGAUACACUCAAUAAAUGGUAACUAUUAUUGUUACUGCAAAAA